UAUGUUAAUAUCUAGUGAAACAGAUGUGUCAUAAAUUAUGAUUGUGGUUUUGAUGCUAAGCAGGAUGUCUGAAUGAAUUUUGUGUGAGAAAGCAAGUUUUGUGAGGUUUUAAGCUCCAGAGUUUUUAUUAUUGUAUGUUUUGUUCACAGGAAAACAUGAAUGAUAUUGCCUUAAUCUUGAUAAUUGAUUGAAUUGCAUGUGAAUGUCAUAUGAUCAAGGCCAUUUUUGAGAACCCUUCUC
Molecule: long non-coding RNA, 240 nt
Filed under: Vigna radiata
Lineage: Eukaryota; Viridiplantae; Streptophyta; Magnoliopsida; Fabales; Fabaceae
Description: long non-coding RNA (VRAD_LNC014515)
Source: RNAcentral